Molecule: ribosomal RNA, 376 nt
Filed under: uncultured organism
Description: partial 16S ribosomal RNA
Rfam family: Bacterial small subunit ribosomal RNA
Source: RNAcentral
GUAGGUGGCAAGCGUUGUCCGGAAUUAUUGGGCGUAAAGCGCGCGCAGGUGGUUCUUUAAGUCUGAUGUGAAAGCCCCCGGCUCAACCGGGGAGGGUCAUUGGAAACUGGGGAACUUGAGUGCAGGAGAGGAAAGUGGAAUUCCACGUGUAGCGGUGAAAUGCGUAGAUAUGUGGAGGAACACCAGUGGCGAAGGCGACUUUCUGGCCUGUAACUGACACUGAGGCGCGAAAGCGUGGGGAGCAAACAGGGAUUAGAUACCCUGGUAGUCCACGCCGUAAACGAUGAGUGCUAAGUGUUGGGGGGGGUUUCCGCCCCCGUCAGUGCUGCAGCUAACGCAUUAAGCACUCCGCCCUGGGAGUACGGUCGCAAGACUG